This is a long non-coding RNA of Anas platyrhynchos (mallard), 1182 nucleotides long. RefSeq lists it as uncharacterized. The record is from RefSeq and is a predicted model, not a curated record. NCBI's taxonomy places the organism in Eukaryota, Metazoa, Chordata, Aves, Anseriformes, Anatidae.
CCACCUUGGGUCAGGCGCGAUCUGCUGAGAUCCCCUGAGGCCUGUCCAGCUGACAGCUGCACGCUUUGCCAGGGGGUUCUCAAAGUGAUCACAGAGCAGGACAUCGGUCAGGUGAAGUGCUCUCAGUCCUGCUGCCUGCUCCUUGUGCUUGCUGCUAGGCUGCAGCCUCGGCCCAGGAACAGGAUGUGAUAUGGACCUGUGCCAUGUCCCAUACACAAGCAUCCUGCAUCUGACUCGAUAGCAGCAGUACCUGCAAAUUGGAGUGUGGUGCUGCCCCAUCCCCCAUGUGUUUUAAAUAAUUGGUGGUUUGGCUACUUGUGUGUUGUAUAAGGCAGACAGACUCGGUUCUGUUCCUUUUCUUUCCCUCUGUGGCCACGUGUCUUCUGCAUUUCAGUCACUGCAGGGAUCUUGCUUCAUCAGUAGGAGAGAGGACUAGUCCCAUCCUGACUACCCUAUGGUCUGGAAAAUGUGGGUGCGGUACUGCCUUUCUGUCACAUGGUGGAAAAAAGCAGAGAAGCUUGUGGUGAGACAAGUUUGAGUGAUCCAGUCCCAGACUUGUUUGUUGCUUUCUGCCUGGGAGAGGUGCUGGGGGUGCUGCAGCCUCACCGAGGGACAGCAGCCAUCUCCUUCAGCGCCUCUGCAUACAGCUUCUUAGAAGCAGCACAAGCUCAUGCCUUCCUCUUAAGAAGGAUGCCUGGUCUGUCAGCUGAAGGCAGAUGCUGAAACUGUGCACACCAGCACAAGUUCCUCGCAUUUCUCUGUGCCCUACCUGAAGCUCUGCCAAGCACAAACCUCAAAGCCGUGUCAGCAGCAUCCCCAGUGGGACCUGGUACAAGAGCAGAUGAGGUGAUUUUUAUCUCCAAGUCGGUUCAGCAUCAGUGCAACACCCUUGUCUUCAGCUCAGGCUUUGAGCUUACGUAGCUGCAUCACUAGAGCAAGCUGAGGUUCAGCUCUCAGCACAUGCUGUGCCUGCACAGGGUCCCCAGAGCGUGCACACCACUUCUCUGCUCUCCCCAGCCCACGCUGUCUCUGCGUUGCCAAAGCUGCUCCUCCUCGCCGGCACUGGGAGCGUGCUCCACAGCUGCUCAGAUACAUCUACGCACACAGCAGCAGGGCAGCCGCUGCGGUACCGUGCACACUGACUCACUGCUUCUCUCUUGCAUCGCUCAAACGCCUCUUGUU